AGAGUUUGAUCAUGGCUCAGAGUGAACGCUGGCGGCAGGCCUAAUACAUGCAAGUCGAACGGCAGCACAGCAGAGCUUGCUCUGUGGGUGGCGAGUGGCGGACGGGUGAGGAAUACGUGGGAAUCUGCCCAGUCGUGGGGGAUAACGUAGGGAAACUUACGCUAAUACCGCAUGCGCCCUUCGGGGGAAAGCCGGGGACCUUCGGGCCUGGCGCGAUUGGAUGAGCCCACGUCGGAUUAGCUAGUUGGCGGGGUAAAGGCCCACCAAGGCGACGAUCCGUAGCUGGUCUGAGAGGAUGAUCAGCCACACUGGAACUGAGACACGGUCCAGACUCCUACGGGAGGCAGCAGUAGGGAAUAUUGGACAAUGGGCGCAAGCCUGAUCCAGCCAUGCCGCGUGAGUGAAGAAGGCCCUCGGGUUGUAGAGCUCUUUUGUCCGGAAAGAAAAGCGCCGGGUUAAUACCCUGGUGUCCUGACGGUACCGGAAGAAUAAGCACCGGCUAACUUCGUG
Molecule: ribosomal RNA, 510 nt
Filed under: uncultured bacterium
Lineage: Bacteria
Description: bacterial SSU rRNA
Rfam family: Bacterial small subunit ribosomal RNA
Source: RNAcentral